RNAcentral lists this ribosomal RNA (1733 nucleotides) under Escherichia coli. RNAcentral's name for it is "partial 23S ribosomal RNA". It matches the Rfam family "Bacterial large subunit ribosomal RNA", at positions 1 to 1774 of the family's 2925-position model. The record is from RNAcentral. Lineage: Bacteria; Pseudomonadati; Pseudomonadota; Gammaproteobacteria; Enterobacterales; Enterobacteriaceae.
GUUAAGCGACUAAGCGUACACGGUGGAUGCCCUGGCAGUCAGAGGCGAUGAAGGACGUGCUAAUCUGCGAUAAGCGUCGGUAAGGUGAUAUGAACCGUUAUAACCGGCGAUUUCCGAAUGGGGAAACCCAGUGUGAUUCGUCACACUAUCAUUAACUGAAUCCAUAGGUUAAUGAGGCGAACCGGGGGAACUGAAACAUCUAAGUACCCCGAGGAAAAGAAAUCAACCGAGAUUCCCCCAGUAGCGGCGAGCGAACGGGGAGCAGCCCAGAGCCUGAAUCAGUGUGUGUGUUAGUGGAAGCGUCUGGAAAGGCGCGCGAUACAGGGUGACAGCCCCGUACACAAAAAUGCACAUGCUGUGAGCUCGAUGAGUAGGGCGGGACACGUGGUAUCCUGUCUGAAUAUGGGGGGACCAUCCUCCAAGGCUAAAUACUCCUGACUGACCGAUAGUGAACCAGUACCGUGAGGGAAAGGCGAAAAGAACCCCGGCGAGGGGAGUGAAAAAGAACCUGAAACCGUGUACGUACAAGCAGUGGGAGCACGCUUAGGCGUGUGACUGCGUACCUUUUGUAUAAUGGGUCAGCGACUUAUAUUCUGUAGCAAGGUUAACCGAAUAGGGGAGCCGAAGGGAAACCGAGUCUUAACUGGGCGUUAAGUUGCAGGGUAUAGACCCGAAACCCGGUGAUCUAGCCAUGGGCAGGUUGAAGGUUGGGUAACACUAACUGGAGGACCGAACCGACUAAUGUUGAAAAAUUAGCGGAUGACUUGUGGCUGGGGGUGAAAGGCCAAUCAAACCGGGAGAUAGCUGGUUCUCCCCGAAAGCUAUUUAGGUAGCGCCUCGUGAAUUCAUCUCCGGGGGUAGAGCACUGUUUCGGCAAGGGGGUCAUCCCGACUUACCAACCCGAUGCAAACUGCGAAUACCGGAGAAUGUUAUCACGGGAGACACACGGCGGGUGCUAACGUCCGUCGUGAAGAGGGAAACAACCCAGACCGCCAGCUAAGGUCCCAAAGUCAUGGUUAAGUGGGAAACGAUGUGGGAAGGCCCAGACAGCCAGGAUGUUGGCUUAGAAGCAGCCAUCAUUUAAAGAAAGCGUAAUAGCUCACUGGUCGAGUCGGCCUGCGCGGAAGAUGUAACGGGGCUAAACCAUGCACCGAAGCUGCGGCAGCGACGCUGAUGCGUUGUUGGGUAGGGGAGCGUUCUGUAAGCCUGUGAAGGUGUGCUGUGAGGCAUGCUGGAGGUAUCAGAAGUGCGAAUGCUGACAUAAGUAACGAUAAAGCGGGUGAAAAGCCCGCUCGCCGGAAGACCAAGGGUUCCUGUCCAACGUUAAUCGGGGCAGGGUGAGUCGACCCCUAAGGCGAGGCCGAAAGGCGUAGUCGAUGGGAAACAGGUUAAUAUUCCUGUACUUGGUGUUACUGCGAAGGGGGGACGGAGAAGGCUAUGUUGGCCGGGCGACGGUUGUCCCGGUUUAAGCGUGUAGGCUGGUUUUCCAGGCAAAUCCGGAAAAUCAAGGCUGAGGCGUGAUGACGAGGCACUACGGUGCUGAAGCAACAAAUGCCCUGCUUCCAGGAAAAGCCUCUAAGCAUCAGGUAACAUCAAAUCGUACCCCAAACCGACACAGGUGGUCAGGUAGAGAAUACCAAGGCGCUUGAGAGAACUCGGGUGAAGGAACUAGGCAAAAUGGUGCCGUAACUUCGGGAGAAGGCACGCUGAUAUGUAGGUGAAGCGACUUGCUC